RNAcentral lists this ribosomal RNA (530 nucleotides) under Bifidobacterium pseudocatenulatum. Its description in RNAcentral is "bacterial SSU rRNA". It matches the Rfam family "Bacterial small subunit ribosomal RNA", at positions 159 to 701 of the family's 1533-position model. Lineage: Bacteria; Bacillati; Actinomycetota; Actinomycetes; Bifidobacteriales; Bifidobacteriaceae. The record is from RNAcentral.
GGUGGUAAUGCCGGAUGCUCCGACUCCUCGCAUGGGGUGUCGGGAAAGAUUUCAUCGGUAUGGGAUGGGGUCGCGUCCUAUCAGGUAGUCGGCGGGGUAACGGCCCACCGAGCCUACGACGGGUAGCCGGCCUGAGAGGGCGACCGGCCACAUUGGGACUGAGAUACGGCCCAGACUCCUACGGGAGGCAGCAGUGGGGAAUAUUGCACAAUGGGCGCAAGCCUGAUGCAGCGACGCCGCGUGCGGGAUGACGGCCUUCGGGUUGUAAACCGCUUUUGAUCGGGAGCAAGCCUUCGGGUGAGUGUACCUUUCGAAUAAGCACCGGCUAACUACGUGCCAGCAGCCGCGGUAAUACGUAGGGUGCAAGCGUUAUCCGGAAUUAUUGGGCGUAAAGGGCUCGUAGGCGGUUCGUCGCGUCCGGUGUGAAAGUCCAUCGCUUAACGGUGGAUCUGCGCCGGGUACGGGCGGGCUGGAGUGCGGUAGGGGAGACUGGAAUUCCCGGUGUAACGGUGGAAUGUGUAGAUAUCGGG